RNAcentral lists this long non-coding RNA (423 nucleotides) under Mus musculus (house mouse). Its description in RNAcentral is "predicted gene, 47782". Lineage: Eukaryota; Metazoa; Chordata; Mammalia; Rodentia; Muridae. The record is from RNAcentral.
GAGACUCCAAACUGCUGAUUGGGCAGGAUGUGCCAUGGUGCCAUGGGCUUGGGAGCUGUUGCAGGACUCUUCUGUGUGGAUUUGAGGAAGUCAUCAUACUUGAGCACUUGGCAAGGGAUCCCCAACUGUUCCAGCUUCACGUGCUUGCUCAACUCACUCAGUGCCAUCUGCACAGCAAUGCUCACAAGCCUGGGCCAGAAGCCAUUGCUAGGCUGGACCACUGGAUUCCUCUCUGUCAUGGCCACAGAGUCCGACAUCUACCUGUGUACUGAAGCCAAAGCACCACGUUCUUUACCUGAUACUAACAGAAAGUCUGAAGCUGCAGUUUGGCCUCUCCUUCCUAAGGAUGUUUGGACAGCUUCAGUUACCUCUGAGUACAAGCAUGGCCCUACCAAUGACGUGUGGGAAGAGCAUGUUCCUGGC